UGUUCCAUCUCCUUUAUUCUAGAUUCUUUCAGUUGCAAGAUAAAUUCUCAUCCAACUUUUCCUUUCCUCUUUUGUUCGCUAUGUUUAUAACUCCUCCGGAUAAAAAAAAAAAAGUCCAUUUCCUUUAUUCUAGAUUAUUUCAGUUGCAAGAUAAAUUCUCAUCCAACUUUUCCUUUCCUCUUUUGUUCGCUAUGUUUAUAACUCCUCCGGAUAAAAAAAAAAAAUCCAUUUAGCCUUUUCUUUCUUACAUAAAAAAGAAUCCACUUAGCAAAUCAAGAAAAAAUUAAUUUUAUUUUUUCAUGUUUACCCUUAUAUGAUCAAAUUUUAAUGCACAUUUAAUUAGGGUAACUUAGCCAAAUUACCUAUAGGAGUUAAUAUUUUUUGGUGUGCAAAUGACUAAGUGGACGUUUUUUUUAUCCGGACGGAUUAAUGUUUUUCUUCUUUGAAAGGAGGUUUGGUAUGUGUAAAUUGUUGAUUGGGGGUAGAUAACCAUGAACAAACAAAUUAUAGUAGUAAUUUCAGACUUCUUUUUUAAACUAAUAGUCCCGUCACUUUCUUCCAUCCACUCUUCUCUGUUAAUACGUUUGAUCGAAACAUUUUAGCUACAUAUUAAUUGUAAAAUUUAUAGUUAUGGAUGGUCAUGUUUUAAAAUAUUCUGCUCAAAAUCAUCGCAUUAGUUCUUUUUUUAAUGUAGAACUAUUUUGAUUGGUGUUACUUCAGUAUAGCUUGACUAAAGAGUAAUCAUGGAUUCAGUGUUCCUUUGUCCCCUGUUUUGACACGAUAAGAAAGAAAUUUGAGUUCUUAAUGCUUCUCCAUGCUCAUCGAGAUGAACCAAUGUCAGUCUGUUUUACUCCCAAGCACACCAAGUUCUUGAUGGAGCACAUUCUAAGUCUCGGCUGAGAACUUUGAUUGAUUGAGGGAGAAUGUACAACUUCAUAGUGAGAACUUCAUGCGUGCUUUUUGUUUCCUUGAAGCGGAGCUAGAAAGACAUGGAUUGAGUUGUUAUGGCCAGUAUGAACAACUCUUUUUUUUUUGCUUAUGUUAGCUAUUGGGAGUUUACUUUUAUCUCAACUGCAAAUGAUUAGAAAAUCAAUUUGAUUGAAAUCCUUUGUGAUUUUCAUAUUUUCACCUCAAGAUCCUUUUUAACUUUCACCUAUUUUUUCUAAAUCUGACAAUUCCUUUGAACUUGAAUAAAUUGUGGAAGCGUAGUGCAAUAAGACCUUAUUACUAUUGGACACCUCGAAAGAAAAUAAUACUUUUCGUUUCCUUUUUAAUAUUUGUGUUUGUAUACCAUUUUGAAUGUAUUUUGCCUAGCCAUUAUGAGACAAAUAGUCUUGUGGUUGAAUGAUUCUCCAUGUAUUUGAGGUUGGCUAUUGGAAUUACAAGAGUUGGCUUGCUUUGUUGUUUCAAAAUUUUUUGGGUAAUUUACAAGACAACAUUUGUGACAGUGGCUCAACUGGAGCUAUGUCUUAUUAUCAAGUCACGGAGAAGAAGCCCGCUUGAUUAUUAUGCUUCAACUACUUUAUGAAAUCAAGGCAGUUAACUGUUCUGAGGGUAAGAACUACAUGAAGGAAUAGCUUUCAUUUCUUUCAAGAUCAAGAACUACAUGUAGCAAUAUCUUUCAAGAUCAAGAACUACAUGUAGCAAUAUCUUUCAUCUCUUUCAGAUUUGGAAACUGUUAGAGCUCUGGAACAGCUGUGAUCCACAUUGCAUUUCCUUGGAUAGAUUUUUUGAGACUGAGUUGUUAGAAUGUUCUUCUUCUGUGCCUCAAAAAGUCGAGUUUGACUUUUGAUCAACUUCUUUGAAUUAUUUAUUUGUUUAGAUUAUCUUGAACAUUCACAUGCUGUCUUUUUAAUCACUGGAAGGAUAUGAACUUGUUCUGCAUUCUCAACUUAAACAAGUCCUUAUAUUGAAAAAGCCAUUUAGUCCUCAAUAAAAGUAUAUUGCGUGAAAACGCAUGCCAAGAA
Long non-coding RNA from Lycium barbarum (goji berry), 1967 nucleotides. RefSeq lists it as uncharacterized. NCBI's taxonomy places the organism in Eukaryota, Viridiplantae, Streptophyta, Magnoliopsida, Solanales, Solanaceae. The record is from RefSeq and is a predicted model, not a curated record. The transcript has 3 exons.